CCCUUAGAUGUUCUGGGCCGCACGCGUGCUACACUGAGUGGGUCAGCGGGUCAGGUUGCGCGAAAGUGUUUCCUAAUCUUGAAAUCCGCUCGUGAUGGGGAUUGACGGUUGCAAUUUUCCGUCAUGAACGAGGAAUACCUUGUAAGCGCGGGUCAUCAUCCCGCGCUGAAUACGUCCCUGCCCUUUGUACACACCGCCCGUCGCUCCUACCGAUUGAGUGGUCCGGUGAGGCUUUGGGAUCUGAGCAAAAAGAGCGUUUCGCUCGUUUGGCUCGGAAAACUCAGUCGAACCUUAUCAUUUAGAGGAAGGAGAAGUCGUAACA
RNAcentral lists this ribosomal RNA (322 nucleotides) under uncultured eukaryote. RNAcentral's name for it is "partial 18S ribosomal RNA". It matches the Rfam family "Eukaryotic small subunit ribosomal RNA", at positions 1470 to 1796 of the family's 1831-position model. The record is from RNAcentral.